Long non-coding RNA from Equus quagga, 1074 nucleotides. RefSeq lists it as uncharacterized. The record is from RefSeq and is a predicted model, not a curated record. The transcript has 5 exons. NCBI's taxonomy places the organism in Eukaryota, Metazoa, Chordata, Mammalia, Perissodactyla, Equidae.
GGGAGCCCUGGUGGAGAGACGCUCCGUCAGGCUCCCUUGGCUUCCCCAGCCCCUGUGUGUCCCAACCUCAGCGUGGUGGAGAGGGGAGAACCCAAUUCACUGGAGAUGAGUUAAUACUUGUGAAGAGCUCAUGACAGUGUCUAGCUCAUAUAGGUUGGUGCGGUUUAUCUGUAAUUUGGCCUCCUGCAUGGAUUUGGGGCACUGGGCCUAGCUGGUGCCACUCUGGGAACUCUUCUUAGUCCCACUCGAGACUUUUGGCUCCUGGCUGCUGAGUGGGGCAGGACUUCUGAACAGAGCACGAGACCCUCCGCUUUCUCUGAGUCCUCGGUGAUACUAUGAUUUUCCACUGAAAGGACUGUAGCCUGGAACAUCUUUCGCCGGUGCACAUGGAUCAGGCCUGCGGGGGAACAAACGAGACCGAGCCUGAGGCAGGGACCUCCCCUCACCCGCUGAGAGUUCAUCCUGGGACCCUAGUCUCAGGGGGACGUGUCCAGACUGGAGUGAGUCAGUGAGAGGUCACAGGGGUCAGAUGUCGGGACAGGCCCAGGGGCUCACCUGGAAGGCGGCUUGGGCCCAGCCACGGAAGGCCUCCUCCUGGCCGCACAGCUCGUCUCCCUGGCCCAGCUGCAGGAGCCGCUCCCCACCCAGCUCUUCCAGCCGCGUGUCCACCGCACGAGCAAAGGCGCAGAAGUGCGGGAGGACACCAGUGGGUCUGAACAGGAGACGCUGUUGAAGCGGAUUUUGUAACUCCUGGCAAGAGAGGACAAAGACAGGGGUGUCACAGGCACAGCCCUGUGACACAGCCAGGGGACAGCUUCAGGGCCUCUGCAUCUGGGGCAGGAAAGGCUCUGCCCCUGGGCUUGGCUUCGCAUCCUUGGGGGUCUCCAGACCUCCAGGUCCUGCUCUGCCUCCCCUACCCUCUCUGAAGGAGACCUCAGGACUGACUGGCCCUUAGUGCCCUGGGGGCAGAUCAUGAGGAAGGAGGGUGUCCUGAGGCUGUGGUGGGGACCCAGGCCUCCUCCCACCUGUCCUCUUGCUUGUUGGAGGCACAGAGGGAGAGCUCUCCAGAUGCCC